Malus domestica (apple) is the source of this 569-nucleotide non-coding RNA. NCBI's taxonomy places the organism in Eukaryota, Viridiplantae, Streptophyta, Magnoliopsida, Rosales, Rosaceae. The record is from RefSeq and is a predicted model, not a curated record.
UUGUAUAAGUAUAAAUAGGGACCUCAAGAGCUGCAAACUCCAGUAAGAAACGAGUCUAGUGAGAGAUGAAUAAAGAGAAGAGGGAAAAGGUACUUUGGGUUGGAGAAAGUGAGCGAGUGAGAGAGAGGAUGAGAAAAGAAAUUAAGAUGAAGGUUGAAUUGGAUGUCUGCGGAGAUGGCAAACAAAUUAAGGUAUAAGAGAAGAGAGUUGCUGUGUUGAUGAUGGUCAGUCGGUUUUGAAAGAAUCAAAUAAAGGAGUAAGGUCGAUUACGGUGGACUAAUGUCCUUCUGCCAGUAUGAGGGGAACACGGACACAGAGGGGAUUUGCUGAAGGUAGACUCUUGUAGUAAAGAGUCGGAGCAAUGCUUUGGAAUCCAGGUAGGGGAAAUACGGCAGACCUUUACGGAGAUUGGCUUUAUUAAAUUUCGUGAAGCAUUAUAUUAUUAUUGAUCUUGUUGGUUGAUUAAUGUGAUAUGGGUUGCUAAUUGGACAAAUACUGCUCUUGCGUGUUUACUUGUUAUUGGUUAUGGAAUUAUUGGUGAAAUGCGAUUGGUUGAGAAUAUACUAUGG